Molecule: ribosomal RNA, 443 nt
Filed under: uncultured bacterium
Lineage: Bacteria
Description: partial 16S ribosomal RNA
Rfam family: Bacterial small subunit ribosomal RNA
Source: RNAcentral
CCUACGGGAGGCAGCAGUGGGGAAUAUUGGGCAAUGGGCGCAAGCCUGACCCAGCAACGCCGCGUGAAGGAUGAAGGCUUUAGGGUUGUAAACUUCUUUUGUCAGGGACGAAGCAAGUGACGGUACCUGACGAAUAAGCCACGGAUAACUACGUGCCAGCAGCCGCGGUGAUACGUAGGUGGCGUGCUUUAUCCGGAUUUACUGGGUGUAAAGGGCUUGUAGGCGGGACUGAAAGUCAGAUGUUAAAACCACGGGGUCAACCUGUGGCCUGCAUUUGAAACUGUAGUUCUUGAGUACUGGAGAGGCAGACGGAAUGCGUAGGGUAGCGGUGAAAUGCGUAGAUAUUAGGAGGAACACCAGUGGCGAAGGCGGUCUGCUGGACAGCAACUGACGCUGAGGCGCGAAAGCGUGGGGAGCAAACAGGAUUAGAUACCCGGGUAGUC